GUUAAAAACCCACUGAAAGGAUUAUGUUUUGAAAACAUAAUGAAGAGGUUAAAACCCUCUAUUUAACU
Molecule: transfer RNA, 68 nt
Filed under: Sigmella schenklingi biguttata
Lineage: Eukaryota; Metazoa; Arthropoda; Insecta; Blattodea; Blattellidae
Description: tRNA-Ser
Source: RNAcentral